GACGAACGCUGGCGGCGUGCCUAAUACAUGCAAGUCGAGCGGACUAAACAGGAGCUUGCUCUUGUUUGGUUAGCGGCGGACGGGUGAGUAACACGUGGGUAACCUGCCCGUAAGACCGGGAUAACUCCGGGAAACCGGAGCUAAUACCGGAUAACACCGAAGACCGCAUGGUCUUUGGUUGAAAGGCGGCUUCGGCUGCCACUUACGGAUGGGCCCGCGGCGCAUUAGCUAGUUGGUGAGGUAACGGCUCACCAAGGCGACGAUGCGUAGCCGGCCUGAGAGGGUGACCGGCCACACUGGGACUGAGACACGGCCCAGACUCCUACGGGAGGCAGCAGUAGGGAAUCUUCCGCAAUGGACGAAAGUCUGACGGAGCGACGCCGCGUGAGCGAAGAAGGGCUUCGGAUCGUAAAGCUCUGUUGUUAGGGAAGAAGAAGCGCCGUUCGAACAGGGCGGCGCGGUGACGGUACCUAACGAGAAAGCCCCGGCUAACUACGUG
This 499-nucleotide ribosomal RNA is filed under the name uncultured bacterium. Its description in RNAcentral is "partial 16S ribosomal RNA". It matches the Rfam family "Bacterial small subunit ribosomal RNA", at positions 28 to 507 of the family's 1533-position model. The record is from RNAcentral.